RNAcentral lists this ribosomal RNA (460 nucleotides) under uncultured bacterium. RNAcentral describes it as "partial 16S ribosomal RNA". It matches the Rfam family "Bacterial small subunit ribosomal RNA", at positions 338 to 795 of the family's 1533-position model. The record is from RNAcentral.
CCUACGGGAGGCAGCAGUGAGGAAUAUUGGUCAAUGGACGAGAGUCUGAACCAGCCAAGUAGCGUGAAGGAUGACUGCCCUAUGGGUUGUAAACUUCUUUUAUAUGGGAAUAAAACGUUCCACGUGUGGGAUUUUGUAUGUACCAUAUGAAUAAGGAUCGGCUAACUCCGUGCCAGCAGCCGCGGUAAUACGGAGGAUCCGAGCGUUAUCCGGAUUUAUUGGGUUUAAAGGGAGCGUAAGUGGAUUGUUAAGUCAUUUGUGAAAGUUUGCGGCUCAACCGUAAAAUUGCAGUUGAAACUGGCAGUCUUGAGUACAGUAGAGGUGGGCGGAAUUCGUGGUGUAGCGGUGAAAUGCUUAGAUAUCACGAAGAACUCCGAUUGCGAAGGCAGUUCACUGGACUGCAACUGACACUGAGGCUCGAAAGUGUGGGUAUCAAACAGGAUUAGAUACCCCUGUAGUC